UUAAUCCUGACUUGUGGUUAAACAGUUCACAAAUUUCCAAAACACCGUUUUUAAACAAAUCUCAACACAUCACGUGUUUCAAAAGGUUUCGAAAAUUCUAGAGUGAACCACGUUUACCAAUCCGGCCAUGAAUUUCGUUUCCAAGAAACGACAGGUUAAUAGAAACAACCAUGUGGAGUUAGACUCGCUUUAUUCUUCUAAAUCGAAAAGUGAUAUACACAUAUUUUACCUUCUCCACUGUCAAUCGACGCUGUUGCUGCAUGGGAAAAUCGAGGAAAACCGAGAUUAUCGCACAAUCCACCGAUAUCGGGGUCUUCAAAUUCGAGUUUCAAUCUCUUUGCGCGCGAUUCGUAAUCUUGCACGUUUGGGUCGGAAUCCAUCUUGGACACGAGACACGAAUAACUUUUGUGGACAACCUGACUCGAGAAAGACGAAGCCGGAAGACGUCCACAUCGACGCGCACAGAUGGAAUUUGAUCGAAACUCAAUGCGAAACUGAUGGUAUCGGACUAACGGUGUUGCCGAAUUGCAACCAUCGAGGUAUAGACUUUCUGUUUUGUUCCUUUCCAUGUUUUUUUCUACAGAUUAUGGAGCUUAUAUCCGGAUGUACCCCUUUUUAUUGAAUAAAAACUUCACAACAAA
Dendroctonus ponderosae (mountain pine beetle) is the source of this 641-nucleotide long non-coding RNA. RefSeq lists it as uncharacterized. Lineage: Eukaryota; Metazoa; Arthropoda; Insecta; Coleoptera; Curculionidae. The transcript has 2 exons. The record is from RefSeq and is a predicted model, not a curated record.